This 319-nucleotide ribosomal RNA is filed under the name uncultured eukaryote. RNAcentral's name for it is "partial 18S ribosomal RNA". It matches the Rfam family "Eukaryotic small subunit ribosomal RNA", at positions 1470 to 1796 of the family's 1831-position model. The record is from RNAcentral.
CCCCUAGAUGUUCUGGGCAGCACGCGCGCUACAAUGGUCUUCGCAAACGGAUGCAUUCUCGAAGGAGAAUGCCAAUCUUGGAAUCUAUGCCUUGGUCGGGACAGUUGCUUGCAAUUUUUCGACUCGAACCAGGAAUUCCUUGUAAUCGUGAUUCAUCACAUCACGAUGAAUACGUCCCUGCCCCUUGUACACACCGCCCGUCGCUCCUACCGAUCGAAGAGUUAGGUGAAUUGUUUUGAUCGAUAAGAUUUGACUAUGGUCAACUCUCGUUGUGAAAUUCUGUGAAUCUGACUGUUUAGAGGAAGGAAAAGUCGUAACA